RNAcentral lists this ribosomal RNA (486 nucleotides) under uncultured bacterium. RNAcentral describes it as "partial 16S ribosomal RNA". It matches the Rfam family "Bacterial small subunit ribosomal RNA", at positions 30 to 507 of the family's 1533-position model. The record is from RNAcentral.
AUUGAACGCUGGCGGCAUGCCUUACACAUGCAAGUCGAACGGCAGCACGGGUGCUUGCACCUGGUGGCGAGUGGCGAACGGGUGAGUAAUACAUCGGAACAUGUCCUGUAGUGGGGGAUAGCCCGGCGAAAGCCGGAUUAAUACCGCAUACGAUCCACGGAUGAAAGCGGGGGACCUUCGGGCCUCGCGCUAUAGGGUUGGCCGAUGGCUGAUUAGCUAGUUGGUGGGGUAAAGGCCUACCAAGGCGACGAUCAGUAGCUGGUCUGAGAGGACGACCAGCCACACUGGGACUGAGACACGGCCCAGACUCCUACGGGAGGCAGCAGUGGGGAAUUUUGGACAAUGGGCGAAAGCCUGAUCCAGCAAUGCCGCGUGUGUGAAGAAGGCCUUCGGGUUGUAAAGCACUUUUGUCCGGAAAGAAAUCCUUGGCUCUAAUACAGUCGGGGGAUGACGGUACCGGAAGAAUAAGCACCGGCUAACUACGCG